UACGUAGGCAGCAAGCGUUGUUCGGAAUUACUGGGCGUAAAGCGCACGUAGGCGGCUUUGCAAGUUAGAGGUGAAAGCCCAGGGCUCAACCCUGGAAUUGCCUUUAAAACUGCAUCGCUAGAAUUGUGGAGAGGUAAGUGGAAUUCCGAGUGUAGAGGUGAAAUUCGUAGAUAUUCGGAAGAACACCAGUGGCGAAGGCGACUUACUGGACACAUAUUGACGCUGAGGUGCGAAAGCGUGGGGAGCAAACAGG
RNAcentral lists this ribosomal RNA (253 nucleotides) under uncultured bacterium. Its description in RNAcentral is "partial 16S ribosomal RNA". It matches the Rfam family "Bacterial small subunit ribosomal RNA", at positions 524 to 776 of the family's 1533-position model. The record is from RNAcentral.